GUGGGGAAUUUUGGACAAUGGGCGCAAGCCUGAUCCAGCCAUUCCGCGUGCAGGAUGAAGGCCUUCGGGUUGUAAACUGCUUUUGUACGGAACGAAACGGUCCGGGUUAAUACCCUGGGCUAAUGACGGUACCGUAAGAAUAAGCACCGGCUAACUACGUGCCAGCAGCCGCGGUAAUACGUAGGGUGCAAGCGUUAAUCGGAAUUACUGGGCGUAAAGCGUGCGCAGGCGGUUUUGUAAGACAGGCGUGAAAUCCCCGGGCUCAACCUGGGAAUUGCGCUUGUGACUGCAAGGCUGGAGUGCGGCAGAGGGGGAUGGAAUUCCGCGUGUAGCAGUGAAAUGCGUAGAUAUGCGGAGGAACACCGAUGGCGAAGGCAAUCCCCUGGGCCUGCACUGACGCUCAUGCACGAAAGCGUGGGGAGCAAACAGGAUUAGAUACCCCUGUAGUCC
RNAcentral lists this ribosomal RNA (450 nucleotides) under uncultured bacterium. RNAcentral describes it as "partial 16S ribosomal RNA". It matches the Rfam family "Bacterial small subunit ribosomal RNA", at positions 354 to 796 of the family's 1533-position model. The record is from RNAcentral.